GACGAACGCUGGCGGCGUGCUUAACACAUGCAAGUCGAACGGAAAGGCCCUGCUUUUGUGGGGUGCUCGAGUGGCGAACGGGUGAGUAACACGUGAGUAACCUGCCCUUGACUUUGGGAUAACUUCAGGAAACUGGGGCUAAUACCGGAUAGGAGCUCCUGCUGCAUGGUGGGGGUUGGAAAGUUUCGGCGGUUGGGGAUGGACUCGCGGCUUAUCAGCUUGUUGGUGGGGUAGUGGCUUACCAAGGCUUUGGCGGGUAGCCGGCCUGAGAGGGGGACCGGCGACAUGGGGCCUGAGAGACGGCCCAGACUCCUACGGGAGGCAGCAGUGGGGAAUAUUGCACAAUGGGCGGAAGCCUGAUGCAGCAACGCCGCGUGCGGGAUGACGGCCUUCGGGUUGUAAACCGCUUUCGCCUGUGACGAAGCGUGAGUGACGGUAAUGGGUAAAGAAGCACCGGCUAACUACGUG
RNAcentral lists this ribosomal RNA (468 nucleotides) under uncultured bacterium. RNAcentral's name for it is "partial 16S ribosomal RNA". It matches the Rfam family "Bacterial small subunit ribosomal RNA", at positions 28 to 507 of the family's 1533-position model. The record is from RNAcentral.